This 116-nucleotide transfer RNA is filed under the name Thermomicrobiales bacterium. RNAcentral describes it as "tRNA-OTHER". Lineage: Bacteria; Pseudomonadati; Thermomicrobiota; Thermomicrobia; Thermomicrobiales. The record is from RNAcentral.
GUCUCAAGUUGUUGGAGAUGGGCUAGGGCUGUUCGUGCGUCGCUUGCCCCUGUGACGCACUCCAGAUGCGACGAGGGUGACCCCGUGCGGGUUCGAAUCCCGCUCUGGGUACGCCA